GACCUGUUAGCUCAGUCGACAGAGCGUGGUGCUAAUAACGCUAAGGUCGUGAGUUCGAUCCUCACACAGGCCA
This 73-nucleotide transfer RNA is filed under the name Paramuricea clavata. It matches the Rfam family "tRNA". From Rfam's summary of the family: Transfer RNA (tRNA) molecules are approximately 80 nucleotides in length. Their secondary structure includes four short double-helical elements and three loops (D, anti-codon, and T loops). Further hydrogen bonds mediate the characteristic L-shaped molecular structure. tRNAs have two regions of fundamental functional importance: the anti-codon, which is responsible for specific mRNA codon recognition, and the 3' end, to which the tRNAs corresponding amino acid is attached (by aminoacyl-tRNA synthetases). tRNAs cope with the degeneracy of the genetic code in two manners: having more than one tRNA (with a specific anti-codon) for a particular amino acid; and 'wobble' base-pairing, i.e. permitting non-standard base-pairing at the 3rd anti-codon position. Lineage: Eukaryota; Metazoa; Cnidaria; Anthozoa; Malacalcyonacea; Plexauridae. The record is from Rfam by way of RNAcentral.